This 580-nucleotide ribosomal RNA is filed under the name uncultured Vibrio sp. Its description in RNAcentral is "bacterial SSU rRNA". It matches the Rfam family "Bacterial small subunit ribosomal RNA", at positions 135 to 710 of the family's 1533-position model. The record is from RNAcentral. Lineage: Bacteria; Pseudomonadati; Pseudomonadota; Gammaproteobacteria; Vibrionales; Vibrionaceae.
AGAGGGGGAUACCAGUUGGAAACGGCUGUUAAUACCGCAUAAACUUUGAGGAGCAAAGCAGGGGACUGAAUGGCCUUGCGCUAUUGGAUACGCCUAUGUGAGAUUAGCUUGUUGGUGAGGUAAAGGCUCACCAAGGCGACGAUCUCUAGCUGGUCUGAGAGGAUGGUCAGCCACACUGGGACUGAGACACGGCCCAGACUCCUACGGGAGGCAGCAGUGGGGAAUAUUGCACAAUGGGCGCAAGCCUGAUGCAGCCAUGCCGCGUGUAUGAAGAAGGCCUUCGGGUUGUAAAGUACUUUCAGUUGAGAGGAAGGCAUUAUUAUUAAUACUGAUAAUGUUUGACGUUAUCAACAGAAGAAGCACCGGCUAACUCCGUGCCAGCAGCCGCGGUAAUACGGAGGGUGCGAGCGUUAAUCGGAAUUACUGGGCGUAAAGCGCAUGUAGGUGGUUUGUUAAGUCAGAUGUGAAAGCCCGGGGCUCAACCUCGGAAGGUCAUUUGAAACUGACGGGCUAGAGUUUUGUAGAGGGGGGUAGAAUUUCAGGUGUAGCGGUGAAAUGCGUAGAUAUCUGAAGGAAUACC